GGGGAAGCCAUAGUUAGGGUUUUCAAGCUUCCAAGCUCCAUAAUCAAGAAGUACGAAACUCGAGGUUAGACAAAGGGAAGAAUAAAGUUGAAGGCUAAGUUGGUGAAUUUGGCUAUAAUUGGUACCGAGUAUUGCAAAGCUACUUCAAGGAUCCUAAAGAAGUCGGAGAUCGUCCACACUAUCAACUAUAACUGCUCGGUAUUUUAUAUCGAAACACGUUUGAGUUAUGGCAUGUAUAG
This is a long non-coding RNA of Gossypium raimondii (Peruvian cotton), 239 nucleotides long. RefSeq lists it as uncharacterized. NCBI's taxonomy places the organism in Eukaryota, Viridiplantae, Streptophyta, Magnoliopsida, Malvales, Malvaceae. The record is from RefSeq and is a predicted model, not a curated record. The transcript has 3 exons.